This 254-nucleotide ribosomal RNA is filed under the name uncultured bacterium. RNAcentral describes it as "partial 16S ribosomal RNA". It matches the Rfam family "Bacterial small subunit ribosomal RNA", at positions 524 to 776 of the family's 1533-position model. The record is from RNAcentral.
UACGUAGGGGCCUAGCGUUGUCCGGAAUUAUUGGGCGUAAAGAGCUCGUAGGCGGUUCGGCAAGUCGGAUGUGAAAUCUCCACGCUUAACGUGGAGGGGCCAUUCGAAACUGCUGUGACUCGAGUCCGGUAGGGGAGCGUGGAAUUCCUGGUGUAGCGGUGAAAUGCGCAGAUAUCAGGAGGAACACCAGCGGCGAAGGCGGCGCUCUGGGCCGGUACUGACACUGAGGAGCGAAAGCGUGGGUAGCAAACAGG